AAUCUUCCCGUUUAACGGGAAGACAUGGUACGAAUACUUUCAGACUAGAGGCCGGGAGGGGGGCUGGGAACUUUCUAGGUAGGAGUAAAAUCCUUUAAUCCGGAAAAGACCACCAGUGGCGAAGGCGCAGCCCCAGAACGGACCUGACGGUGAGGGACGAAGGCUAGGAUAACGAACCGGAUUAGAUACCCCCGUAGUCC
Molecule: ribosomal RNA, 200 nt
Filed under: uncultured bacterium
Lineage: Bacteria
Description: partial 16S ribosomal RNA
Rfam family: Archaeal small subunit ribosomal RNA
Source: RNAcentral